This 492-nucleotide ribosomal RNA is filed under the name uncultured bacterium. RNAcentral describes it as "partial 16S ribosomal RNA". It matches the Rfam family "Bacterial small subunit ribosomal RNA", at positions 29 to 507 of the family's 1533-position model. The record is from RNAcentral.
AGUGAACGCUGGCGGUAGGCCUAACACACGCAAGUCGAACGGCAGCACAGUAAGAGCUUGCUCUUACGGGUGGCGAGUGGCGGACGGGUGAGGAAUACAUCGGAAUCUACUUUUUCGUGGGGGAUAACGUAGGGAAACUUACGCUAAUACCGCAUACGACCUACGGGUGAAAGCAGGGGAUCUUCGGACCUUGCGCGAUUGAAUGAGCCGAUGUCGGAUUAGCUAGUUGGCGGGGUAAAGGCCCACCAAGGCGACGAUCCGAAGCUGGUCUGAGAGGAUGAUCAGCCACACUGGAACUGAGACACGGUCCAGACUCCUACGGGAGGCAGCAGUGGGGAAUAUUGGACAAUGGGCGCAAGCCUGAUCCAGCCAUACCGCGUGGGUGAAGAAGGCCUUCGGGUUGUAAAGCCCUUUUGUUGGGAAAGAAAAGCAGCAGGUUAAUACCCCGCUGUUCUGACGGUACCCAAAGAAUAAGCACCGGCUAACUUCGUG